Molecule: ribosomal RNA, 353 nt
Filed under: uncultured Coriobacteriales bacterium
Lineage: Bacteria; Bacillati; Actinomycetota; Coriobacteriia; Coriobacteriales
Description: bacterial SSU rRNA
Rfam family: Bacterial small subunit ribosomal RNA
Source: RNAcentral
AGAGUUUGAUCAUGGCUCGAGGACGAACGCUGGCGGCGUGCUUAACACAUGCAAGUCGAACGGGGAUACGUUUGAUGAGAGCUUCGGCAGGAAUCGGAUGUAUUCUAGUGGCGGACGGGUGAGUAACGCGUGAGCAACCUGUCCCAGACAGGGGGAUAACACUUGGAAACAGGUGCUAAUACCGCAUAAGACCACAGCAUCACAUGGUGCGAGGGGUAAAGGUGGAAACCGGUUUGGGGUGGGCUCGCGUCCGAUUAGAUAGUUGGUGAGGUAACGGCCCACCAAGUCGACGAUCGGUAGCCGACCUGAGAGGGUGAUCGGCCACAUUGGAACUGAGAGACGGUCCAAACUCC